GCCGAUGAUAGAUUCAACCAACUUCAACAAAUGAUCAUGACCUAACAGUAAUCCCUCAUCAGGUUAGAAGCACAAAUAGAUCAAUUAACUGAGUCUACCAUGAGGAGAAAACUAGAUCAAUUGCCAAACGAACCAAUACCAAAUUUUGAAAAUGACCCACCCAUCCACCAACUACCUGGACCUAGUCAUCAAUCCAAUGUCCCACUU
This 207-nucleotide long non-coding RNA is filed under the name Elaeis guineensis (African oil palm). RNAcentral's name for it is "long non-coding RNA (EGUI_LNC081887)". Lineage: Eukaryota; Viridiplantae; Streptophyta; Magnoliopsida; Arecales; Arecaceae. The record is from RNAcentral.